ACAAACCAGCCUAACUAAAGCAUUGAAGUACUACAAAUGGAUGAUGGAAAGCAGCAUGUAGCAGAUGAGCAAGUUGCAGCUGAGAGGUUAAGUGAUGUGCCCAGGGUUACAUAGCUGCUGUGUUUGUUUUCAACACCAUGGAACCAGAUGCUCCUCCUAGGAUAACAGGAUCACUUCUAAUCUCAUCUCUAUGCUUCUAACGUAGGCCUCAGAUUCUAUAUCACUGAGUGCCAUUAAGACACAGACCAAAUCAACGUCCUUUUCCAUCCCUCUACUUUUGAACAUUCUCCAUUCAUAUCUGAUACUUACACAUCUGGUGAUCUGCAGAACCUAGACGCAACUAAUAAUGAAUCAUCUCUGACUCACUCAUUUUAUUGUUUCAACUCCUUUCCAUAUUCUAAAUCCCAGACAAUGAGCCCACUCUUGUUUGUACCACUGUUGUCUUUUCUCACUCUGCCCCAGUUUUCACACAACAAAUCAAGAAUCAAUUAACUUGGCUCCACUGAUAAAUGUCAGCCCUGAUCUUCCUUCACCAUAUCCAGGGGACCAGUUUCUACAAAGGGGGUCUAGUGAAUAACAGAAAUGAGUUUCCUGUAUAAGUUCAGGUAAUAAGUGGAACCUGAAAGUAGUUCUAUCUCUUUUCUGCCUCCCAUUCUCAGCUGUUUCUCAUUUAUUGUCACUGUCAGACUCCAACAAAGAUAUUCUUAUCCAGGCUGUUUGUGUGGGGCUUUAGACUGUUUGGUCAAAAAAAUCAUGUUAUUAUAUUGGAAAAUUUUAUGGGGAAAGGGGAGGGUUUUAAAAAAAAACAUAUAUUACAGAGCUUUCUGGAUCACAUAUCAUCUACCAUAGGACUACAGUGUACACACCAGCUCAAAAAGCCUUACAUAUUUCUCAUAUAAACCUUCAAAAUAUAUGAACUUAUCUUCAUUUGCAGCCAACCCUGCCUAUAUUUCUAUCAUGCUCUCAUUUUAUUAUACAUCAAAUUAUAUCC
Long non-coding RNA from Dromiciops gliroides (monito del monte), 991 nucleotides. RefSeq lists it as uncharacterized. The transcript is spliced from 4 exons. Lineage: Eukaryota; Metazoa; Chordata; Mammalia; Microbiotheria; Microbiotheriidae. The record is from RefSeq and is a predicted model, not a curated record.